UACGUAGGGGGCAAGCGUUGUCCGGAUUUAUUGGGUGUAAAGCGCGUGCAGGCGGCUCGUUAAGUUGGGUGUGAAAGCUCCCGGCUCAACUGGGAGAGGUCGCUCAAGACUGGCGAGCUAGAGUAUGGUAGAGGAAGGUGGAAUUCCGGGUGUAGUGGUGAAAUGCGUAGAUAUCCGGAGGAACACCAGUGGCGAAAGCGGCCUUCUGGGCCAAGACUGACGCUCAGACGCGAAAGCUA
RNAcentral lists this ribosomal RNA (239 nucleotides) under uncultured bacterium. RNAcentral describes it as "partial 16S ribosomal RNA". It matches the Rfam family "Bacterial small subunit ribosomal RNA", at positions 524 to 762 of the family's 1533-position model. The record is from RNAcentral.